UGUGUUUGAAUUAGGUUAAGAUGAAGACUUAUUGCCUUACGUUAAAGACCUUUUCUUGUUAUCUUAUUCUAAAGAGAAAAAAAUACUUUGCUUUACAUUAUGUUCGAUUUUGUUAGGUGGUUGUAUAGAUUGAGAGGCCUUGUAUAUUUUAUAAGGCCAUGGCAUGUGGGACACCGGACAUGCAACCUUGCCCAGUUUUUCAAUACAGGCACUUACGGUCUCCGAUUUUGCAUCUCUAUCUCUAUAAAUUUAUAUUUUGCAUCAAUACCAUUUCAAAUACAAAAUAACAAAUAAUGCAGAAACUUCUUCAGAUAUUUUUUUUUAUUUGGUUAUCUUUUCGUAUUACAGUAAAACUUAUGAAUUGAUUUGGUUUGAACUAAUUUACAAUUUGCAUAUGUUGUUGGCAAAUUAGAUUAUUAUAUCUUUUCAUUUGGCUGAUUAAAGGCUCCAAUCCAAAAUUAAGGCCUGAAAUUUGGGCAGAAUCUGUCUUUGCAAGCUUAUCCAUCAGUGUGCCAUACCACUACAAGGGGCGGUUUCACUUCGUUAGCCACCACGGAGAGCUCGUAUGGCUCAACAGUCCCCCUGCCGGCAACAAAUCUAAUCCAAUGCUGAGAUGGACAUUGAAGGGCCUUCUAUCUAUCAGUAUAUACGGGGAGACGGCAUAUUUAUCACACAGUAGAUAUCAUUGAUAUUCGCAUGUAUAACGUACCUGUAAGAGCCAUUUGAAAUCUGUAAAUUCUUAAAUUUCAGCAGAAUGAUGUGAAGAAUUGGAUGAUUAACUUUUCAUAUCAUUGUUACCUUGAAAAGAUUUAGGAUCAGCAAUGUUGGAUCUAUGACAGGCAGAGGUAUGAAUGACAUGAGAAGCUCCACAUGCAUGAUUUCCAUAUUUCUAAAGAGCCAAUUUUCCUAGCAACUCCUGUGAGUCUGCAAAUUGCUUUGGUGUACAGGAAUUUUCUGAAAGUCACAUAUGCGAGGGUGUUACAAUAAUUUGAAGAGAGAAGCUCAUCUUUUAACCAAAAAGAAGUAGAAGUCAUAGCUCAACUAUCAUUACAGCAAUGCUCUUCUUGCUGCUACCUGCUGAUAUUACUUAUCGAUUUCCUUUUUAAAAAAUAAUUAUUGCCAGUUAAUAAAACAAAGCUCCAGGACGGUGUUCUUGAACCGUCCUACUUCCAUCUUCCAUUCCAUUGUGAACUACUCAAUUGGUCAAACAUCAUUGUACUCAUAACAUUACCUUAUCCAAAAGUGAACUUAUAGCUUACAAUAAGAGAAGAAAGUUGGUUGCAACCAUAUGCCAACUAGUGGCAUCUAAAGAUAUUACAUAACAAACAUGGGUAGUACAGGAAGUGGCUUGAAUGUGUGCGUGCAUGUUACUUCUCAACAUGACGAAAUGCACAAUUCAGGAAUUUCUCUGAACACAUGAUUAGUGGUGAUCAUGAUUAGAAGAUUGUACAAGGUUGCAAACAACAUAGUCAACCAAGUAAUGACUCCACCUCUAAUCAAAAAAAUAAAAGUAAUGGAUCCAUCCACAAUCCAAAUAAUUGACAGAUUAAAAAAUUAUAAAUUAUCUUAUCUUUCGUUAGUCAAACCAAAUAAAAAAUAAUUGACCUAAUUAAUCACCAAUAUCCAAAAACUUACAUAUUUUGUGAAUUAUCCAUCAGCUAAAUGUGGCUCAGGUAUCAUGGGUUAUUGGUUAAUGAUGUUCUGAUGUCGGUUAGUUCAGAUGAGCAAGUUGGUUUCGCAGCCUGACAUCAAAGUUUUGCAUCCUAAUUAAACUUGGAGCUACUUGCAUAGGUAUCUUAAAAGAUUCCUAUCACAAGCCCCUGGCAAAUUCAACGGACUUGUAACUAUUAUAGCAAAAGACCAAAUAUGGAAAUGUCCUCUACUUCUAUAAGAUGGAUAAGAAAAUGACAACCUCCAAGCCUGAUUCUGCUGUAUAUUCAUAGUCCCUUUUAUGUCCAGUUAUUUGGCCCUCAUCAAUGCUUCCCAGAUGAUCACAAAUCCCUGUACCAGUAGUUCACACUUUUGCUGGUAGGCCAUUCAUUCUCCAACUGAGACUAUUUAAUGAUGCAUCAGUAUUGGACUUGAGUUAGCCUUGAUGGCGGGAAUACCAAUUAAAUUGUAAGCAUAGUCUCCCUAUCUUGACAUUACUCCUACGCUCUUCCCAAUAAACUCUUCCUGUGUUUUAUUAUCAUCCCAAAUCUUCCUGCUGGAAAAACCUUCCUAUCCUUGGCCAGUCACACCCUACAUAAGCAACAACCAAAAAUUGGAGCUCGAACCAUUUAAGUAAGAUUGAUAUGUUUUAUGAAGACGUUGAUGAAGAAUAGAUGUGAAUCUUUGAGUAAGUUCUUGUGACACUUUUUCUAUUUUUUUAGCAAUUGUGUUAGUUACAACUUAAAUUGACUGUUCAACUCUGCAAAACUCAAUGAAAAUCUUUGAAGUUUUCUAUAUUCCAUGUACACAAUGGCAAAUAUCAUUGUUAUGUCUUCUUUUACUGUGUUUUGUGCACUCCUUCCACAGUGCCACCAUCAUGCUCAUAUAUGCAGAACCAUAAUUAAGAAAGGUGGAUUAAUAAAUAUAAAAAGAAAAGCUAUCAAUAUACUCAAUCAAGCGUAUCAAAAUAAAGAUGUGAGCACUAUUAAUGAGAUUGAAAGAGAAGUUGGAUGAAGUCUUCCCAUGCAAGCGGAGCCAUUUUAUAAAUAUUAGUUGCUUAACAUGCAUAUUGCUGACUGUGAGAAAGUAUACUGUUGCUUCCCACAAACAGUAGCAGGUUGAUUUUUCUCAUAAAAAUGACCUUGAGAAAAUCCUUCCUGAUGAGGACAGAAGUUCCCAUUUCCAAUGCUCUAGAAAUGAUUUUGACAGAAAGAGUUGGUGGAAGGAAAAUUGAAUGGUAACUACACAAAUUGUUAUUACUUUUGAUCAUUUGCAAAUAUACCUCUUCAUGUGUAGGAAGUGUCUUGGUUGGAAGAAUUCGAGAGUAAAAACUGGCAUGGACCAAUGUUGAUCUACAUGAACCAGUACUGACCAACAUAUUAGACAUAUAAUAAUGGUCAGCUAAAUAAUAUUAAAAGUCAAAUUAUCAAUAAAUAGAUGGACCAACUUCAUUAGAAAAAGGGAUAGUAAGCUUAUUAGGCCUGAGCUUUCAUUAGCUUAGUUCUCAGAUCUUCUGCAUGAAUCAUGUUACAGAUUCAGUCUAGCUUCUAUUAAUAACUGCCUGAACAAAGUUUUUGAAAUCAGUUCUAGAUUUGUUCUUGGAGGAUGAUAAAAUUCAAUACGAAUAUACAGGUUAGUAGCUCAAUUUUCAUAAUGAUACUUAAGGAUACUCCAGUUAAUGCUUAACAUUUAUCUUCCCUCCCUGUUUGCAUGUUUUUUGACCAUAUAAAAAGAAUAUGGAGAGUCAAUGAAAGUUUUAGUUCUGAUCUCACAUAACUCAAUCAUUAUCUUUAUGAAGAAAAUUCAGCAGCGCAUGCAUUCACAAUAGAAGCAUGAAAUGAGUCACAAAUUAUCAAAGUACAUUGUGCUUCAAAGAAAUUCAGUGCAUAAAAAGAAAGAAUGUCCAGAAUAUAGGACAGUAAGUGAGAAUGAUUAAAGUUAAGGAAGAAGAGUUAUUGAGAAGUUUAUAAACGAGUGAAACAGCAUGAGAAAUGCAAACCAUAAUGAAGUUCCUGGAAAUGAUGUACGAAAUCAGAAGGUGUUUGACAUAAUAACUUUUGACAUCUCGAACCUCAACAUACCAUAUGGCUCCGGCUAGAGGCUCGCAACCGAUGGCGAUUGUUCCCCUUCUCUUUCUGAAUUACAACUCACAUGUCCCCAUGAACUUCAUCCAUGAAUCGAGCAAAACAAAAACAACUUUUUUCCCCUUCGGAUAGAAUUUUUUCUUCAAUGCAUCCUUUUUAUCUUCUUAGAAUGAUCAUUUGGGAUUACUAAAGAAUCUUCAAAUAACCAAUCCAGAGACAAAAAAAAGAGGGACCCUCAUGAGCAAAAAAUUGCGCCAGCAGCUUGCUUCAGAACUUAUUUCCAAAGUCGCGUUAAUCAAUCCAAGAUGUUCGACAUUUUUUUUUAGAAGUUUUCAUCUACGAUUCCUCAACUCCGAUCUUGCUGCAGUAUACAUCCCUCACUUCCGGAGCCUCUCUGCUGUAUCUGAUCACAUACUUCUCCAAGAACUCGUUCUCGUUACAAGCAAACAACCAUGGCCCCAACUUAUUCCUCUUACUAUUCCCAUCUUUCUUAAGCAGUCCCUUGGAUUCCAGCAGACGAUAUACCCUGAACCUCGGCAAGAGCCUUUUCUCCAGCCCAUACAUCAGCAGCUUCGGUUGCCGGGCGAGAACCUUGGGCGUCAACCCGACCUCGUUCACAAAGAACCUCACCAUCUUUCUCAUCUUCUCCUGCGACACGAGCACGAACAGCGGGGCGCGGCGGAACGCGAUGGCGAUCUCCUUGUCGGACCAGGCGAGGGAGCGGCGGAGGAAGGCGAGCCGGGCGUCCCAGGUGGAAUGCCGCAUGGCAUUGAGCGCGCGGACGGCGUGGACGAACAUGGCGGUCUCGGGGCGGACGCCGAAGCGGGCAGCGGAGUCGACGGCGGCGGCGAAGCGGGCAGGGGGGAGGGUGAGGGCGCGGGGUUGGGCGGCGAGGAGGGCGGAGAUGUGGGGGGCGGGGACGCCGCGGGAGAGGAGGAGGUCGACGUUGGGGGCGACGGUGGAGGGGAAGUUGGAGGAGAGGAGGCGGGGGAAGCGGCGGACGGCGAGGAGGAGGGAGUCGGGGGAGGGGAGGAAGAGGCGGAGGAGGGAGAAGGCGGGGAUGAUGUGGGAUUGGAGGCUGCAGGAGAGGAGGGAGGGAGAGGAGGAGAGGAGGAGGGGUAGAUGGGGAGGGGGGGAGGGAGGAGGAGAGGAAGGAGANNNNNNNNNNNNNNNNNNNNGGGAGGGGGGGAGGGAGGAGGAGAGGAAGGAGAGCUUGGGGGAGAGGGUGAGGUCGGGACGGGAUCGGAGGAGGGAGGGGCGGACGGAGACGAUGCGGGCGAUGUGGGAGGGGGAGAGGCCGUGGGAGCGGAGGAGGGAGAGGACUGCGAGGGAGUUGGCGGCGGAGGAAGGAUCGAGGUGGAGGCGGCGGGCGGCGGAGAGGGCGGAGGUUAAGGAGAGGCCGCAGGAGGAGACCAGGAAUUGGACGGUGAAGGAGGAGGGGGAAGGGGGAGGGUCGGUGGAGAGAGAUUUGCUGAAGAAUCUGGAGAAUAUGGUUGGAGCGGAGUAAUGGAAGGAGAGGAUUCGUUUGAAGAAGAGAGAAGACAUCUGAGAAAUGGGAGAUAUAGAAAAGGAGGAGGAGAAGAAGGGUGUUUUGAGGAUUCUCAGUGCGAAGUGGGAGGCUCAGGGAAGAAUUUAAGUAUCCAAAUGGGUCUGUUUUUAAUUUGGAUAUGAGGAUUGGGUUGGGUUGGGUCUGAAAUGGAGCUAUUUGAACCCAAUCCGUAGACUAACAAGGUCAAAAAUUAGUCAAAAUAUUAAGAUGAUUCCAUAAUCUAGUCCAGCCCAACUCAACCCAAAUGUCAUGAUUUACAAAUCAUGACCCAUGAAAGUCAUCAUUAUUUAGAUCAUAUCAUAAGUAAAUUUAGAAACGACAUAAUUUGUUGGGUGGAAAUUUUAUUUUAUCUCUUAUUUAUUUUAUCAGUACAACUUCAAUGCCGAACGAUAUAUGAAAAUAAAUUGUGUCCUCCACCCACUUUAUUUGAUAAGAUCUUCUCUCAAGCCUUGCUCACCCCUUCAAUUAGGAGAAUUUGGAGUGUGGCAUGCGUGACACACUUGUAUUUUUAUUUAAAAAAAGAGACCCCCAUCCAUAUAAAUUAUAGAUGCUAAAGACAUGCAGCACCUUUUGUUUUCAAUUUUUCUAAAUUCUUUAUGAUGUGCUGCACCAAGGAUGUAUAUUAAUCUACUAAUAUUACUUAUAACAAAAAUAGCCAUGGUAGAAUACAAUUCACCAUUAAAUAUGAUUUUAUAAUUCCUUAUGAACAUUGUUUGCUUUAUGUUAUUGUGGACCCAAAACCUGGUAGCUGGGUUUCAAGGUUAGAUAUCUCACUAACAUAAAACUUGGAAACCUUUAAGAUCUUCAAACGGUCGGUAGGGCGACAUAGUUCUACAUGCAAUUUGGAAGUAUCAUGAUCUAAAUAUCUGCUUUACAAGAUGAUGGUUUCACAAUUACUGUUUUCUGAAUGCUCCUUUCAGUGAUUGCAUUGGUUUAUCAAGUAAAUCAAGGAUUAUUCAAGAUUAAUAAUAGUACGUUGCUAAACAAAUAUUCCAUUUUCACAGCAGAAACUUUUUCUCAGCAACUCUUAGAAUAUGGAAGAGCUGAUAAAACAUGCAUUGCAAGCAGAAUGUGUUCUUGGUGAUGUGCAUCUCUAUCCAUACAGCAGUUGAGGACUGCAGUGAGACAACAAGGUAUUGAUGUCAUGCCCGUAAUUUUAGGCAUGUAACGCACCUACUAAUUUUGCUUCAUCAAGAAUAAACAAUACACAAUCAGGAAGAAAAUUUUCAGUGGCUUAAAGAGCAUGAUGAGAUGUUCUAUCUGGGAUUGAUUUGAAAAUUUGCAACACUGGACUUCAGAAAAGAGCCUAUCAGGUUCCAAACAGAAAUUUUUGAUCCAAAAAACCGUACUUGAACUGAUCGUCGUGAUCCUUCUCUGACAUACUCCAGUUCUCCAGAGAUACCAUCUUGAACAUAAUCAGGUUCUUCAAGAAGAGGCAAUGCAAUAGAGCCUUGGGACUCGAGGUUCUUAAUCCACCCACGCAACAAAAAGUUUACAACCUGUUGGCCACAAAAGAAUCAUCCUCCUCAUACCAUCUUCUUUCCCAUGAAUUAGAUACUCAAGUUUAUAAAGUAUCGAAUAAACACUUGAGUACACUGAAACUACGUUAUUGCACAAAUGCAAAAAUACCAAAGUAGAUGAGCACUUUCAGCUCAUUUGGCAGAACCAGGCAUAAAGAAAGAGCAGAUAUUCUAGCAUUUAUUGGAUGUGAACAAAUAGAAGUAAUUUCAAUUUAGAGAGAGUGGUGCUCAAAGUAAAGUUUAUGUAGUGACGUCAAGGACUAAAAAUCAAAUUAUGGACACAAGUCAUCAGAUUGUACAACACACACAAUAUGGAGAUGGUAAGGAUUGGCACAGGUCAGCACCUGCCAGUUCAAAUAAGUCAAAAAAAAAAAAGAAAAAGUUUACCAAGUAAUACUGGGCAGUACAAGGUUGGUACAAGGUGAUACAGGUCGGUUAGGGUAGUAUAGGUCGGACAACCUAAAAAUGUCAUAGAAGUCUAAUGUCCUAGAUAGUAGAACUUACAUCUGUUGAUACAGGUCGGUUAGUGUAAUACAGGUCGGACAACCUAAAAAUGUCAUGGAAGUCUAAUGUCCUAGAUAGUAGAACUUACGUCUUCGUAGUGAGCGCCUUCAUAUGCUAAUUUAUUAGAAAUUAGCUUUGUGCAAGUGAACUUUUAGUGCUCCAGCUGUUACUUACUACAAAUCAUGUUCCUGCAAUAUGUAUUAUGAAUCUUCAACAACUAUAUUUUUUGUUAAAUGAGAGCAUUACAAUGCGAAGGUAAGAACAGGUUUGCUUACCAAUCUUUAAACAAAAUAUGCAAUAUCUUUUCCAAUCCACAUAACAAUGACUUCAUCAUGAGAACUCCAAUGCUGUGAUCAUUCAAUCUACUGAGUACGCAUAUGUGCAGCAUAAGAGUCUCUUGCGGUAAAUAAUACCCUACUACCUAGCAGCUACGGUCAAUAUCCAUUUUCAAGGCCCUAUCUGAUGGCAGAGCAAGAGUACACUAGUAAGUUAAUCGGUAGGCCAUAACUGUGAAUGUUUUUCGAUAAGAACUCUCAUGUAACUGUUAGAUAUGCCCAGAAAUGCAGCUUGAAUGUGCUUGUCGGGUUUAUCCGAUGAUUUCAUUAGCAAUACCAAAAAAAUUUCAAGAAUAAAGCCCAACUGUACUGCAGUUAUGAGAGUUGGUGAUUGUUUUAUUUCUUUGCUUCUCAUGAACAAGAUGACAGCCUGUCUAUAACCGGCUCCCAGUAGUUAUCAUGGACCAGUCUGAUAUAGCAUGCACACAGUGCAACAAACAGCUUCACCAAGCCUAGAUAAACCCUCUCUCUCUCUCUCUCACACACACACAACAAAAAAAGAAAAGGUCCUACAAUGGAUUCCAACUGUUUUUUAUCUAACCUUCAAAUUGAAGUUCACUAAAUUUUGGAAACAUUGAUCAAAGCUUCUGAUUUAAAUUGGCAGCAGCAUAUAGGAGAAGAUUGUCAACCUUUGUGACACAUGAGUUUGCAUAACAAACAUCUUCCAGCAUUUUCACCAAAUUCUCCUUCUCAUCAUGUUCUUUUAUGAUUGCUACCAAAAAACAUGUUGCAUAAGAAAGGGGGACAUUAGGAGCACAUGUGGUGAUAUGCAAAGCAUUUUCAUCUUUCAUUACCCAUCAAAAAAAAACUGCAAACCCCCCAAGAUGAAGAAGAGCUUAAGUUACCGUUAAGAUGGAAUCAUGGAAGACAAGUUAUUUUCCUGACAAGGAGCUCAGCGUAGAACAUUCCUGGUGCCUAUCAGAUUGUAGGUCUAUUGGACAUGUUUUGGCUACAUACUACAGACAAGAGCAUAGAAAAUUUAGCUUGUCAUUCUAAUCUUGAUGAAUGUUAUCUUGUACACUCAGAGGAUUUGUUUCAGAUCACUGGAGUGCCAGAUGCAUGUAUUUAUGAGUCUAAAAAGAUUGCUACUUAUAAGAUAUUAUUGAAAAUGAAAACUUAUGAUUUCUAAGUACACGAAUGGAAAUGUGAUGUAGGCUUUCAUCUAUAACAGUAGUCCUAAGUAGAUUUCCAGUCUGAAUCAACAACUUCUGUAUUUGAAUUGUUGACAAUCUGCUAUCCAGAUGAACUUUCAAUAACAUAUAGAAUCUAUCUAAUUUGUUGUAAAUGUAAUCCCUUGUUUCUCAUUUCUUUUUUCUUUGAAAUUUCUCUAUUCUAUACUUCUUGCAUGCCCCUUAGUUUCCUACUGCUUCAGAAGAGUAAGAUGUUAUGGCAACAAAAAGAACACCAAGGAUGAAACUGGACUUUCACCAAAUGAGUAACAAUAGUUUUAACUGCGACCAAUAUUAUAUACUAACAUACUCUCCAACAUCAGUGAAUGUGUAACAACAUUGGAAACAAUAGAAAGAAAAAGACGGUUCAAAUCAUGUUGUCACCAAUGCCAACAAUAAAAUCACAUCGCAAAUCACAAAAAUAACAACCCCAAUCUAUUUGGAAAUCACUAGAAGAUUAGUGCAAGUUGUAAUAGUACUAAAAUAAUAAUAUCCUAGGACAUUCUUGCAGGACUUCAGUUCUUGUGCUCCGUUUGACUACUAGCUAAAGAAAAAUCUUCUUACAAGGCAUAGCAGAUCACUUUCUCAGUCAAAUAAAUUAUGGUUAGGUUACACCACAUAAAGUUUUUAUUCAUUAUCAAAAGUAUUUAAACCAGACAUCCAGAUAGAACAGUAGAAUUGGGGGCUGACUUGCUACUGCAAUGUUCCUAAACUUGUAAAAAGAUGAAUUAUGAAAUCUCUCUAAACAUCACGCUUCCUUCAGUUGAAUUUUGAUUUAGUGGGGUAUCCAAUAAUUCUAGCUAGAUUUAGUUGAUUUCAGGUGUUAAAUAGUGGCUAGCUAUGGGCUAUUACUGUAACACGUAUUCAGCAGGAUCCAGAAAAUGUUGCAGGUUUAGCAAUGUGACUUUGAAGGUAUAAGGUAGUUUUUUGGACUAACCUUUGCCAUUUGUCACUCAAGAAGCAUAUCAAAUUCGCAAGAUAAUCAAUCAAAUUACAAAUUUCUGUGCAGUCAACCCAAAUUAAAAAGUUCCAGAUCUAAAAUCAAAAAUGAUAAAUGGUACAUACCUCAGGAACCUCGUCAUGGGGGCAGUGACCUGCCGGGCUAAUCUCAUAAUAUGGUACUUCUGGCAAUUGUUUUUUCACUUUAAGGCCCCAAACAGGCCUAACCCAGGGGUCUUCUUUGCCAUACAUGAGACAGAUGGGAAUGUCUUGCAUUUGGCACCUACAUUCAGAAGAAAAAAUUAGAGACAAAACAGUAAGCAACUUGUGUAUGUUAAGGGCAUAAAGGUUACAAGCUUUGAACAAUUCUUCUGCAUGGAUAUGGAAGAUUUUGACUUGCAUCUAAUAGUUUGGUUCCACUGAUACCUCGACAAGGCCUCCUGGAAGGAUAGCUGUCCCUUGGGAGCAAACAUUAUUGAGGCAAAUGAUGCAGCUGCUGCAGGAUGUUGUGUUGUUUCAACUAUGCGAGAGAAGACUUUGUCGACCUUUGUAGAACGGUCAACGUAAACUUGCUUUAUUAGCUCCAGUAUGCUACUGGGUUCACUUAUCUUCUGCCAUCUAAAUCAUAGAAAAGACCAUCUCACCUCAUUCUUAUUUAAAUAUAAAAAGAAUGGAAAUAUUUAAGCUUAUAAGUUCUCCUAUGUAUAUGACUUGAUGAUUAGAAAACAUCAAAUAAAAGCAUAGAAAAUGAAUUUUGCUUUUACCCUAAACUGACAGUAAUCAUAUUUGUAAGAUUGCAAAAGUUGCAAAAUAUUUGGGUUUCCACCGGAGUCCAGAAAAAUAUAGACCCAAAAUGGUGUGCUGAUCCAAUGGUUGGAUAUGGAUCUAUUAUCAAACCAUCCAUGGAAUCAGGAACGAUGUCAAGAUGACCCACUUGGGGCCCAGAUAGCUGGAGUACACCAAAUGGUUCCUCUAAUUGACUUGACCAACUUAAUCCAUACUACAAAUGAUUGAGACCAUUUUCCAGAAUUGUUUCUUAAGCAAGUCAGGCAGGAAAAAAAAUCCCUGGUCAAACCUGAGUCAUUAGAGAACCCAGAGCAUAAUAAAUUGUUCAAAAAAUUUAUGUUAUAUACUUCAUUAGAAAAUUAUUCUAAUAUGGAACUGACCACAACCAUCUGUGGAGAAAUCAACUCAUGUUGAUACAUACAUAUGCAGAAAAAACAGAAACUUGCAAUGAUUUGCAGUCAUAAAAUGAUGAAAAGAUCAUAGUAAGUUACUAAUACCUACACGAACUCAGUGAGCUUUCUCACACUUGAAGGUAGAGGAAAUGUCCCAGCCCAUGGAAACAAUUUGGACAGCCUAGGUGAUCUAGUGGGGUUAGGGAGGAAUCCCCAAAAUGGUGUUGCAUUGAGCAAUGUAACUCCUCUUACUAGCUCUGGGUUGUUUGCUGCAAAGUACAUAGCAACAAAGCCUCCUAGAGAGUUCCCAACAACAUAAACUGGUUCACCAAUAACCUGUAAAAUGAUAUCAAAUAUAAAGCUUGAUUUCAACCAUGAAGUCGAUUAACUACAUAUAUGAGUGAUACAGAAUCAGUUAUAAGUGGCUUCAAGUCCGUGUUAUUGCACGUUUAAUAUCAGUAUGCAACUCCACUAACCAGACAUGUAAGGACCAAAGAUAAUGAGUUCAGUGGUACAGUAUAGAGCUUUCAUGAUGGCGAAAUUGGUUACUUUGCAAACUAGGUAUUUGCGGACGUGAAGAUAUAAAAGGUUAAAUAAAUAUUCUAAAAAAAAGUUCUUGAAUUUUCUAAUAUUAGCUCUUAAUUAAUGGAGGAAUGAGAGCUAGCAAGUUAAGUAACAAUUCCUUAUGCAUUUAUCGAGAAAAGUUAAAGAUCAUCUGGCACGAUCUAGCUAAGAGCUUUUUUAACUAAAGAAAAGACCCUCAAAAUAGUUUGUUCUAAGUAAGUUAAAUAAAAAAUUUAGAACCUGCAUAAAUAGAGAGUCUAGCAAGUAUACCUGUUCAAUGAAAUGCUUAACUUGGUCUUGCCAAAGAUCAACAGAGUAGACUAGGUUUUGCGCCCAAGGCUUGGAAGCCUCUCCAAAACCCCACACUGCAUUGCUCUCUUCAGAAUUCUCUCUUGGCUUGUCAGAAGGAGCUGGAUCUUCGGUCGGCAAUGACAGGCCUUGUCCUAGGAAAUCCAAUGCCCACACUCUAUAAUCACGGCCCAGAUCUCUCAACUGCUUCUCAUAGUGAAAAGACCCAACCCCAAAACCAGGAAGAAAGAGCACGUUUGGCGCAUUAACAUUCUCCAACCCAGAUUUCUCAUAAUGCACCGAUAAUUUUGGCUUCCAUUCCCAAAAACAACUACUGAUUGGAGAACCAGGAUUGCCCUCAGAUUCAUCAGGUAAACUUGGAAUUAAAACCUUCUUGACCUCGUCGACCUUCCUGGGAAUGUCCCUCAGACCAACUUUUCCAUCCGUCACAUAAUAAUUAUAAGUUUCAGUUGUAUUCUCAGCAACGGCACAAUUCCGGAGGCCUUCGAGCAGACUUAACAAUCUAGUCUCUUCUUUUUGAUAGAGAUUCUCAACCUUAUUACUGUCCUUGUGAGAACUCCCUAAACCCCAAGAGCGUUUGGUUGCAACACAGAAAAUUCCAGUUUUUCUAUGGGGAAAGAGCUUGGAAUUCUUCAAACUUCGGCUAUUAUCUACAACUUUCCAGUUCAGAGUAGCAGAGUGAUGGCACGGCACAGAGGUGCAGCUAAUAGAAAGCAAUUCCAUCUCUCGAAGGCUACUUGCCCUGCCAGAAUCAACUUACCCUUUCAACCAACAAGGACCCAAACUCAUAUUAAACUAAGAUGAUUAAACUGGCAAAUAGAAUCAAAGAACUAUGUGCCGCAAAUAGGAUCUUAAAAUUUACAGAAAAGGCAAGUUAGUCGUAUGAAUCCACUAAGCCCGAAACAAUACAAACAAAUCUAAAGCCUCAGAAGAAUAAAAUAUAUGCCCGAUUCUUGAGUAAUAGUAACACGGCUCCUUGGAAUUCUAAUUAGAACUUUAGAAUACAAGAAAAAGAUAAGAACUUGUUGGAAAAAAACGGAUUUUGAGCAUGUCGUCCAAAAAAAAAAGGAAAAAAAAGAAAAACACGAACUUUUUUUCCUUAAACAACCACUAGGUAGUAAGAAAUUAUUUUGGAACGAAUUUAAAAGAGGGUUUCAGUUAUACCUCUAGUUCUUAGGUCGACGGAUCGAUCAAACUCGAUUUAUUCGUUAAUCUUCUUCUCCUCCUUCUAAAGUUUCCACCUUCGCUUCCAAAGAAAGAGGGAAAAGCCACCCCCGAGGGGACAAGAGCAGCUCGGAGAAUUUAAAGAGAAUAAAAAAAAAGAAAAACAUAUACAAAACAUGAUGGAACGUUGUGGAGAGCGAGGAAGCGGCUAGAGAGAUAGAGAGAGGUGUAGUUUCAGUGGGACCCACAUGUCAGAGGCUUCUGAUUUGUCUGAUAGUAUGUUUGCUGUUUUAACCAUUACAUGCGGCUGAGAACAGGUGGGGCAGUUUUAAUCGUGCACGUUGCGUGCAGCCAAGACAACGGGAGGAGGGAGAUUUCUUUGCGUGCACCCGCGAGCGGUUGAUUUUUUCCCGCGCCCAUUUGUCUGUUUGCGAACAGGCUUUGGCGGAAUGGUCGGCCAGGGACUGGGCCCGGCUCUGUAAUAUUUAAAUUAAAUACUCAACCGAAUCUUAGCGUCCACAUUUCUCUAGCUAUUGGGUCGUAGGUUCCUAAAAAAAUUGGAUCUGGAUAAUUAGCAUCUGGAGUUAUUUUUUUGGAUUUUUUUUGCAUAAAUAUUUUUUUAAAAAAUUUAAAUUUAUGUGAAUACUCUCUUAAAAUUUAUAUUUAUUUUUGUAAUCUUAUAAAAUAUUGUUUUUUAUACAAAUAUCCCUAAUAUAACGAUUCUUCUAAUACCGUUAAUAAAAAAUAUUUAUUUUAUUAAAAAUAAAUAGAACUUUAAAAUUACUUUUGUUUUCCAUCAUGAUCGCCUUAUAAAUAUUUUUUUUUUUUGCAUAUCUACUCAUUAAAAAUAUUUUAAUCAUUUUAAUUUGAAAUCGUUAAUUUUUUAACGACGUUGGAUGGUGUGAAUACAUAUGCAAAAACAAGAAUAAAAAAAAUAGAAUAGUAAAACAAGUAUUUUAUAAGGGUAUAUAUGCAAAUAUCAAUUUCGGAAGGAUAUUCAUGCAAAAUUAGAGAUUAGGUGGGUAUUCAUGCCAAAAAAAAAAAUUCUUUACUAAAAAAAAUUUAUUUGAAUAAGAGCAAUGUAAACCAUACUGUUCAAAAUCUUAGUAUUUAUUUUUAUUUUCUAGAAAAAGUUAGACUUCACUGCUCCAUUUUAUGCAAAACAUUUAAUUAGUGUUUUCGGAGGUGAGUAGGCUUAUAUUAGGUGAGUUUAAUUAUUUGGAUAGUUAUUUGAAAGUAAUAUUAAUAUUUGGUAAAUUUAGUUUGAAUAGCAUCUUUUUUUUUCAAAUAAAUACAGUUAUCUCAAAUAAUAAUUGUGGUUUUGCUGUUAUGCUAUUUUGAUGCCAUCUAAGGAUAAAAAUGUUGUUAGAAUAUUGUAUGAGUAUAAUACAUAAAAAGAUGGUUUUUCUAGAAAUUGACAAGUUCGUUCAUCCAAUAUUAGUGUACAAUAAUAUAUUGAAAAUAAUGCUAACAUAUAAACAAGAAAAAAUGAAUAAUAUUGAUAUACUAAUAUUUAUAUAUAUUGAAGGAAGAAAAGAUCAAGCAUGAAAAAUGAUUACAUUAAUUAAUCUUUUAUUUAAGAAAAAAAGAGGAAAACCUGCAACUUUUGGUUGCUAACCAGGGCAGUAUGACAACUAGGGCACAGGGCCUGUUAUCAGAUUAGGUUUAAUCAAGAUUAUAAUAAACUUAUAUCUAGAUCUACUAACAUUUUGGGUCUAAAUUUUGUUUCAGACCAAACCAUUGAAGGAUCAAGUCAUGUCAGGAUUCAAGUAAUAAAAUAUCACAAGAUCAUUCAUGUCUUUGGCUUGGGUUUGAGUAUGUCAAGAUAAGUAGGAAUGCAAGCCAAGAACGCACUACCCUGUGGUAUCUUGAUAUUGAACCAUAUCAUACCAAAUUCAGUGACGAUUGGCUUUAUUAGAGAUAGGUCAGCUAUCAUCAAGAAGGAGAGAGAUACUAUGGAGGCAUCGAGAAUUAUGUUGGAGCAAGACCGACAAGAAUCCUUGGAUGACCUCCGAACCUAUCCAAUUCUUGAAAGAGGAAGUACACUAGGUGAAACUUGACUCAGAAGUGUCUGAUAUGGAUAACUUUUAUAAAAAUUGGGCAAUACUAAGUUAAGUCGUAGUACUAGAUAUAGAUAUAUACACAUUAACCAAAAGAUAUUUUUAUCUUGGUUAGCACAGAUUUAAUAUGAAGCUCAAAUGACUUUCAUGUUCAUCAUCGAGUUAUCCCACAAUACACCUUGAAUCACCUUAAUAAGAGCUCAAAUAAAGAAGUUAUGGUCAUUUUACAAGAGACCUAUCAUGAUUGCUGAUACAUUUUAAGACAAUUAUAAGAAUAUCAUAGCACAAUAUAUUAUUUUAGCGAUGAAUUUUCUAAUAUUUAUAGUCAAAUUUUUAUGUCUUUCUUCUAUAAAUACUUGUUAGAGUCCUAGUUAAUGCUCUUAAGGUAAGAUUUAGCCGUAGAAACUUUGCUUCACAAGUUCGUCGAGUUUGAAUUGAGUUUUGAGAAAUCCUAACUUUUAUUUAGUAUAAAGCCCUGGAAUCUACAAAUACCCCCUUUAUAUACGCAGUUUCAUACAACCAAUGAAAUCUUUUCUCUCUUGAGUACAUGUUAAAUUAUAGUUGCUCCAUUUUUUCUUUUUUGUUUUGUGUCGUGGAUCUUGCACAAGCUCAAGUGGAUUCUAGGGAGUAACAAUAUAGCUAGUUGGAGUCCCUCGAGCCUCCAAGGUAUUAGCUGGUAGAAUCAUUGGUAAUAAAGAGGCCCUUUAGUAGUGAUACUAUAAAGCAACUAGUUAUCCUUAACUUAGGCAUCUCAUAUCUAGUUUAGAUUUUGAAAUUUUAUUUUCUUUCUUUUAAUCCUAAAUAUCUAUAUCUUCUGGUCUAGUUAGAACUAUUUUGGUUUUGCCAAUCAUCCGCUAAGGUGCCGCUUAGCGGUGCCGCCCUAACACUGCUUGCGUUAGUAUGGUAUUAGAGUAAGUUCUUUCAUAGUCAAAACUUGUGAUGCAUGCGUGCUACGCUUAAAAUUUGAGUCUCAAAUAGUUUACAAUUUACUAUUCUUAUUUGAUUAAUAAAUUCUUUUAACUUUAGCCUCUUUCGAAUUCCUAGCUAUUUCAAAUUUCUUCUAUUUUCAAAAUACAAAUCGUAUUCAAACUCCUAAGUAUUAAAGUAUAAUUGUUAUUUUCUUUUAUAUUUGAGUAAGUUGCAAGUGCCUUAGAACCCUAUGUCAUAUUCGAAGUAGAGAAUAGCCGAGCUUGAGCACCCCAUGGUCUCAUAUUUACACAAUCUAUGAAAGCUUUUCUCUCUUCAUUACAUAUUAACUCGUGAUUGCUCUUUUUUUUUUUAACUAGGUGAAUUCUAUGCAAGCCUUGAUAGAGCUUGUAGAGUCCUAUGGAACUUCUCGAAGAUGUCAGUUGAUAGAGCCCUUGGCAAGUUGGCAGUAGUAGGAUGAGAAAGUUACUAGUUGUUCUUAGUUAGGCAUCUUAUAUUCAAUGCUAGUUUAGAUUUUAAAAUCUUAUUUGCAUUGAAAAGUUUACAAAUGAAAUACUAAUUUACAUGCUCCUCCAAAAGAUUAAAUCAUCAACAAUAACCACUUUAUAGUUAACCAUCUAAAAAUAAUAAUUAAAUUGAAAAAAAUAUGCUUAAUUUAAGUCAAAUCAAAUAUCCAAAUAUGUUCUAAAUAUGUGAUUAUUUUUAAAAUCAAAGAGGUGUGGGUGGAGUCUGAGAGCAGGGUGGGAGUCGGCAGCUGGGGAGAGGAGACGAGGAGGAAUGUAAAGAAAAGGGAAGGUGGAGUUAGAGGGAGUUGGGAGGGGAGGGACGAGGAGGAGGGGAGGGGUUUGGGUAGGAGGAAGAUGGUGGACAAAAGCCUUUCAUUUCCAAUUCUUUAUUCCACAUCAUUUCCAUCUCAUUAUUGUUAUUUUACAUGCCAUUUCCACGGAGGCACUUUAAUAGCAAAAUGAGAUGCCAGUUGAUGGCAAGCUAAUAUUGCAACACUUUAUAAAGUACCCAUACUCAAUUGCAAAAAUUGAAAAUUGAAACAGAUGCUUAAGUAUAGAAUUUUUUUCAGUAAUUAAGCCUUAUUUUUAUCAUAACCACUUUAAACAUCUAUAUAGUAAUUGUGUUAUAUCAAGUCAAACAUGAUACUUCAUUAAUAAAACACUUUGAACAUACAAUGUUUGUGUUAUUUUUAUUAUAACCGCUUUAAACACCCAUACGUUAAUUGUAUUAUUUUAAGUCACCGAUCGUAUUUUAUUAUAGGAUUUUGAAUAUGUAUGUAAGUAUGUUAUUCCUCUUGCUACUUUCAGUUUCUACGCCAAGGGAGGUGGAGGUUAAGUGGCGACGGUGGUGGCUGGCUUUGACAGAAACAAACUAGUUCUUUCUCCAGCAUCGUUACAUAUUUUUCAGCAUCAGAUGACAAGGGAUGAGAUGAGAUGCUACCAUUCACAGAAUCAAAGGCAUGCCUACAACUGCUUGUGUUACAACAUAAUCAUAUCGAUGCCAGGAACAAAAAAACAUAUGAAUAGAUGAAAAUAGUACUCGAACUACCAUAUACCAUCAAGAUUCAUUUUCUAUACAAGAAUCGUAGUCCGGAUGUUUUCAAAAAAAGGAACUAUGGAGACAUAGUGAGAUGAGGGGAAAUUAGUUGAACUCAAACAGAGCGAAGAAAUGGAAGAUCUGAAAUGAUAUGCGAAAGCGGUUUGCGCUCAUAAAGAGAAUUUGUCAGCAGUAAUCAUAAACUGGGCUUCUUCACAAGUUGUAAUCAAGGCAUGCAGCUCACCAGGAUCCAUAAAUAAACAUAAUAUGUUAUAUAUUUAAUGGGAUCUGACCAAGAAAGUAGAGCUUCUAUAUCCUUUAAAUCAUCAUUAGGUAUUAGUUCAGUCAGUUGAAGCUCCAAACUGUGCAAGUUAGUACAAGGACAAUGUGAAGUGUGACAUUGCAGAGCCAAGUUGCGGUAUCUUGUAAUUUAAGUGACAUGGAGUGUUAUAAAAAUGUGCAAGUGGCUUAGAUAUGCCUGUUGUUGUUUGUCAGCAGACAAGAUCUCUCAGAACUAAAGGGUUACCUAAUAUUCAAUCAGUCUAUUUAUCUUUUUUAACAGAAGAAACUAUUACUUCCAUCACAUUACAACUACACGGUCUGGCCUCAUUUCUCUGGUUAUAUCAAUGGCAUAUACAUACUUUUAUGCAUAUUUGAUUGGCAUUAUGGUAUUAAAUAUUCACAACAAAACAAAUAAAGUUAAAUUGUUUAUUCACUUUAGCACAUAUUACCUUUACAUAGUUUCCUCUUGCUACCUGAACAAAGAUAUAGCAGAUUGAUGUAACAAAAAAAAGAAAAAAAAAGAACAAAGAUACAGCAGAUUGACACUUCUAUCAUGAAGAGAAUCUGAUCAAUUUCUUUUGCCUGAAUUCAGUUUCCAUAUACAGAUAAUUUAAUGUUUUAUACAGACACAGGGUAACGGAUAUUCUUUAUAUAAUAGUAACCGUAUAGUUUGUGACAGUAUCAGAUCAAAUUAUUUUUGAUGGUACUAUUGAUUUAGAUAAAUUCACAGUCUUAGCUUGGUCUAGCAUACAUUCUAAUUUAUAUAACUUACCAGUGAGUAAAAUGCGAACAAUAAUAACUAUUUGCAUAGUAAUACUGAUUUGACAACAAAAAUUGUCAGAUUGGAUGUCUCCAAAUAUGAGGAACUGAACGAGAGCAGUCCUGGAAGUGUUCUUUUAUUACAAUUCAGGAUCUCAUACAUAUAGGGAACCCUGACAAUUGACUAAUUGACCAAUACCUCCCAAUGCUUAGGGGAAAUACAUCUUGAACAUUCCUAUAGAUAUAUAAUAAUCUUACAGUGAUAGCAAGAGCAAAUAUAAUUUCACUAUAGUCCAUGAGCAAUGCUAAAUCUUGGGCCACUUUUAUUGAGCAUGCUUAUAAGCUUGUAUCAAUUUUUACAGACAAAAAAACUAUUAUUGAAAAGAAUUAGAGCUGAUAUUUCCUUUUUCUUCCAUUCUUCUGUUCUAGUACUCUGCACUCUGUUGUUGAAAAGGUUGAGAGAUCAUGGUCACAAAUCCAGCCACGAAAUCGUUCAAUUCUUACCAAUAAGCCCACUUGUGAUGUCAAGAAUAAAUCUAACAUCCUCCAGUCUCUGUCUAUUACUACCAGAUCUUCCACAACAGAUUGCCGUAUAUUAGUACAAAUCUUUGGACAAAUCUUUAGUCGAUUUAUGGUAACAAAAAAAAGCUGUUUGUUGCCAAAUUAAUCCAAAUAUUCUGUGUUGCUUUGAAACAUCUUUUAAGCAGAGUUUGCAUGAUCACUUGCUUCUAGUUCAAUACCCACUCCCCCUCCUCGAGUGCUUUUAGCACUUAAUACCCAUGAAAGGGACUUUGCUUCAGUUCAAGGUGAUUCCUAGAACCUGGAACAGUAAAUUAACCUACACCACACACUAACCAUCUGGAAACCAAAAGAUAUUCUGUUUCCUUCCUUGCCUACCAGGAUAGAGCAGUAACACAAUUCUAAAUAAUGCUGGAGAAAAAAAAUUCUGAAGUAUUUAAUAGCUUGCUCCCAUGAUGACCUAAAUUAUUGCAUAAGACAAUAUAAUAACAUAAUUCUAAAAUAACGCUUGAGAAAGAAUUUCUAAAGUAUUUAAUAGCUUGCUCACAGGAUGACUUAAAUUAUUGUUUCAAGUUAAUAACCCCUUCAGCAACCUCCACGCCAUCUAGUUAAGCCAAGAGUGUGCCCUGAAAAGCAUUUGAAGAUUCUGCCAAACAAAUGACAUACAACCAUUGUAAACUCCAUGGUGUAAGUUACGUUCCCAGACAUCGCCUAACACUAGAGACUUCAACUAAAAAGCAUGUUAUUCUCUUCCAAAAGGGGGGAAAAUCUAUAGAAUUAGAUCCCAAUCUUGGAUUCUAUAUGACCUAUAAGUUGGAAAAGUUCUUCAAAGCAAAAUAUUGUAUUAUGUUAGAAGCAAUCAUCUUGGGACAUACAGGGAUGUCUUUUGCAAGCCAAAAUUAUGAACAGAGAUUUCUAGCUACAAAAGAGGAUUGCAUAAUAUAUAGCUCAGAUAUUAAACAGAUCCAAUAUUAUGUCUCAGUAUUUCCCCUGUAGUUGAUAAACAUAAUAGGGAUUUCCGCCACUUGAAAUGAAAAAUAAUAUCUCAUAUAGCCUCUAAGAUAAUAGAAAAUAUCAAUACAGUUCUAUAAGAUAUAACAAGUUGGCAAUUUAUAUUUGAAGAACUAAAAAGUCCAAAAAAGUUAAACAUAUGAUAAUACCACUGAACAACUCAGGCAAUCAGAAUUUCUAAAAAACAGAUUUUAUUACACGACUACCAUGUACAUCGAUCCCAAAAAAAGACAUUAGAUUAUUAUGUACAUAGAAAGCUUCCAAUUCACAUUACAGGCAGGAAGCAUGCGCCUUCUGUGGAACAUUAUUCUUAUAACAAGUCUGUCAUCAUUUCUUAUACUUAGUAUCGAAAAAUCUUCACUCCGGAUGCUAUUAACACCAGUGACAAAGCAGUUCAAAAGAUAGCUCAGAAAUUAUAUGAGAACCAAGGAAAUAACAAGAUGCUGAGGAGCUCAAACCUUGCAAGUUCAGCUAAGCAAUUCACUCAGAUUGGGAAGCAGAUGAUACCAAACUCCCCACAACACCCAUCGAAUUCACAGCUUCAGAAAUCUCCAAGUUCUGCCUGAUAUCCCCAUUUGGAUUGAUCUGACAAUCCACAACUGCAGGUCCGCAGCUCCCUUCCCAACCAGCCACCUCCCCAUUCCCACCAAAACAUCGUGCGGCAUUAUUGCACCUUAAAUCAACACCACUGCAUUGCUUCUGGAAAGGGAAGGUACCCAAUUCAGCAUCAAUCUUUGCUCGGAGAUCCACGAGAAGGCUUCUCAAUCUAACCACUUCAGCCUCAAGCGCUGCUUGCCCCUGCAAUCUCCUCAAGAGUUGCUGGUUCGCAUGGCGCAAUUUCUUAACCUCCUCCUCCAAAUAAGCUGCUUGGGCCUUCUUCUUUUCCCGAUACUUCCGAACAGCCUCUCUGUUCCCCAAUGGCUUCCGUGAUGUCUUCAGCUCUUCUUCUCCUCCCCUCUCUCCAUCAGUGGUGGCAAAAACCUGCAUAUGCGUGUGGUAGCAUGUAUGGGUAUGCAUGGCAGCUGCAGGUCCUGGAGGGUUACAGGUGUGGGUGUGGGUGCAUGUCCUACUGUUCCUCAAGUACUCGUCAAAGCUGUUAGUCAUCUCAGGGUUUGGCAACAGGAGGUGGCUUGAAAGGUCUACUUCUCCAUCAUCCAUCCUUACUGCAUAUGUUGCUUGAUUGAAAAGAAAACUAAAUUUAUCUUGGCAACUCUUUCCACUCUUUUUUUGAAGAAUUAUACCAAACAGUUGCCUUGCAAAUUUAAGUGAGCCCAGAACCCCCCCCAAAAAAACCCACCUUUUCUCAAACAGAGAUUCACCGUAUGAGAAAACUAUGAAAAUCCAAACGAAAUAUCUCCAUGAAACCACAAAUAUUAAAUCAAAGUGCAAACGAAAGAGUCUCGUAUCAAUCAAGAAGUCCCGCAAGACGAUCCCUUUCCUGUCAUUAUUAAUUCAUCCAAAUUAGAGGCCUAACUAAAACCCAGCUUCACAACUACAAAUACCAAAUUUAUGGAAUUCAGAACUAUAGAUUCAGAAACAAAUAGAUAGAAAAGUUGGUCCGACUCAACUCAACUCCAACUAGGCCUUAAUCCAAAAAUAGAUAGAAAGGUCUACUCACUAGGAUUAAAACAAACUGCAACCAGAGGAACAGAACCCUAAUUUCAUCACAGUAUUACUGGUUCCACAACAUCUAAACGAAAAUAAUGGAUCUGUGAGAUUGGAGAGAUAAUCAGAUGGGGAUUCUCCCUGAAGAGACGAAAUCAAGUAUCAAAAUGAGACCUUGGCGCAAAAAUUUAUCGACUGGCUCAGAAUAGGGGCACCAUCAAGAGCUUCCAAGUGGAGGGCAAUAUCACAGAGGAGACAAAAGAGUCAACUUUUUCUCCUCAUCUGUCUUUCUAUUGCUCUUAGGGAACAGAAUCUGUUAAAGAGGAGAUGAGAGGUGGAGGUCGGAGGCUUGAUUUGAUUGAAGUGGAAAAGGGAAAGGAGGAUUCGGAGGAGAUGAAGUUCCGCACCUGUCAAUACUAUAUUUGUAGCUUCUUAGGGAUAGAUUUCAAGCAAACAUGUCUGUACUAAAUCUAGUAUCAUUAGGUCGGAUUUUGUAAUUUAUAUUAUCGCUGUUUAGAUUGCAUACACGUCAAAGCUUUUGCAUCUAAUUCCCUUUCUAGCAUUAUGAAAGCGAUAAAAUGACCAACAUGCCCAAUGCCAAUUGCCAUGGACUAAGAGGUGGUGAAGGAUAAAAAGGUCAGUUUGCUUCUCUAAGUAUUGGGAUCAUCAAAAGGGCUAUACUAUAGUAGUAGCUCAGAAGGCUGACCCCGAAAAGUUGGCCAAUUUGCAGCUUUCCAUUGCUGCUUUUUUUUCCCCCCUCUUUUACAAAGUGUUUUGGUUGAGGAAGACCGAUGGUUGGAAUAGCAACAGUUACCCCCAUCGGAAGCUAUUGGAAAAUGCUUUCGAGUUGAGGUCAAAACCUGCAACCAAGAAAAGAUUUCUUUUUUUGAGAAGUGGAAACAAGAAAAAAAUUUAUGGCCAUGUAUCAUAUGUAAAAAUUCCAGAUUGAAACUAAUCCCCUUUGUAAAUAUUGACAGCAAUGGCGUUGCCAUGUCGACGGUGGAUGUGGAAAUGGCGGCGACGAUAGAAGGAGACGGUCGUAAAAAUAUGAGUUUAUUAUUUUUGAAAAUAGUGACAGAAUUUUUUAUAUUUUAUAGAAAGAAUUGUUAAAAAUAGAAAAUAAAGAUAAUAGCUCUAAAUAAAAUUUAAUUUUGUGAUUUAUUUUUUAAAAAUAAAGACUAAAAAUAAAUGAGCAAUACCAAACAAACCCUAACAUCAAGUUUUUAAUAAAGGUUUAAGUAUUCAAAUUAAUGGUGGACUAUUCAAAAUGCAAGUCUAAACUGUUAAAUAUGAUUUAGACAACCAAAAAAUCUACAAAUAAAAUUAUAAAAUGCUUUGGUGGUCAUGAAAUUGUAUAAAAUGGCUGCCAAAAAAAGAGAGUUUUUAAUUUAAUCUUAUACUUUGCUAGAUAAGUUUGUUCUUGUCUUAGUGAUGGCACCUCUUUUCUUUGCAACCAUAUAUUUUGGGUUCGAAUCUUAAUUCCCCAAGUAUUUGGACUUGGGUAAUUAAAGUAUGGGAUGGUCUCCUUGCUUUCUCUUAGAAAAUCUUUUACUUUGCUAGGAUCUACUAACAAAAUCUGCUGAUUUCAAAUUUAAUGUUUUUAGAACUAGUAGAUUAUAAUUAACAAAGUAUAUUUUUAGUUUUCAAUUAUAUACUUUAGUAAUUAAAUAACAUGAUUGGAGUAUAAAGAAAAGGCUUUGCAUUAAUUGUCAAAUUCAUUAACUAGAGUAGCAAAAUGAAAUCUUUUUUUGUUUUCUUUUUUUUUUCUUUGGAUGGAAAUGAGAUCUCGAUUGUUGAAUAUGAUCUAUAUAGUUUAAAAUGUUUACAGACAAAAAUAAUGCAUUUUGGAAAAUUCUUGCAUAAACAUCAAAAUUGUCCGAAAACAAAUUACACAUUAUAUAUGUUAGAAUGCACGAUCCUAGUCUUACAUCAAAGGAAUAUUAUGAUCAGUAUUUGUAUAAAAUAUUAUGAAUACUAUGAUUGGUACUUGUAUAAAAUGUUGUUUUUAGUUAUGUUGGUUGAGACAGAAUAAUAUUAACUUGAGAUAUCCAUGGAUACGAUAUUAGAAUGAAUGAAACUUCUAUUCUUUCCUUUUCUUUUCACAAGAAUUAUUAAAACUGAAAUAUUAGUCAUUUAGGUUGGUGAUAGAUGUCAAGAUGAACAAAGAUCUAGACUUAUAUGGGUAGAAAGACGUAGAAGUUAGAAAAGAAUAGACACAUAAAUAUUAAAACCAAUAUUAGUUACUAUUAUUUACUAAUUUUAAAUCAGUUAGUAAAAAGCUCAGUUAAGAUUGUAAAAGAAAGAAGAAAGGUCCGAACUAAUAUACUGAUCAAGUUUUAACUGAUACCAUGAGAUAUUUUGCUAAAAAAAAAAGGGUCAAAACUUUUAAUAUCUCAUUUUUAGUUUCUUAAACCAUUGAUUUCAAUUUUGAUACAAUAAUCAGAACAUCUUGGUUAUGUUCGUGACUCCUCAACCUAGAUGUGAAUCAUGGCGUUGAACCCACAUAGAAUCAAGAAAAAAUUAAAUUAAAAUUUUUUGUUUCAAAACACGUGGCACUGCCACUUUUUUUAAGACUUUAAAAGUAAAAAUAAAUUAAGUUUUAAAUUUUAAAAUUUAAACAUUUUUUUUUAAAGUUUUCGAAAAAAAAAUGCUCACAACGGUUGGCUGUACGUCGAUGGUUUAAAAUAAUUAUUCCUUUUAUUUUGUUCUUUUAUUUUGAAAAUAUCCAACAGUCAACAUCCAGAAAGAUGAUGUAGACCUGUCCAUGAUAGAAAUAUUCAACAUUCAGCACUAGGAUCAGAGCCCAGGAUGUCUGAAGACUUCGGAAGGGGCCCCAUGGUGACUUACUGUGCUCGUUGGACCAUUAACCGACCUCAUAGAGAUGGACGGUCCUUGCAUAAAUAUAAUGGCUUAAGGUCUACAAUAACCUCUAGGUAGUUUCCCUGGUGCUCAGAGGCUGGUUGACCAAAGCGCACUUUGCGAUGCAAAGUAUGUGCCUGUAUGACUCAGUGGAUAAAGGGCCAUUGGUCGGAAAUGAUGCAAAGGAAAAGAAUUCCAUGAUGAAUUUUUGCUUAAGAUCAAUUUUGAUCAUAGUGUGAAGAACAAAGGAGCAAAAGGAGGAGUAGCUUUUGUCAUUAGAGGCUUGGAAUUCAUCGGUGCACGUAGCUGCCACCUGUACGAUGUCUUAGUCCUUGGGGAAGAGUUGAGAGGAGCCUCGAAGGACUUGAGGUUUGCCAUGACAAUACUUCGGGACUCAUUCUAGAGGGAAAUUCAUUCCCUGUUAUUGGAUGGGUGUCUAAGCCGGAGACAUAUGGAGGAUGAUUAAAAAUUUUGACAGCUUCCAAACAGUCCAUGUUUACCGGAAAACGAACAACGCAACUGAUUAAGCAACUUCAUUUAGGGCAGAACACACAGAAAAUAUUGGAUGGGUGAUCAAGAGGACUAUUCUAGUGCAAUUACAGGGUUCUAUGUAUUCUGACAAUAUUGGAUGUAUCCAUACUAGAUUUGUAUGAGUUGUCCAUUCCAAUAACUUAAAAUAAAAUAUUGUCAAAUUUUCAGCAAUAUUUUAAAUAAAUAAUUCAAAUAAUUAUAUUUUUUUUAUCCAUUCGUUAGUCAUUUAUGACCCACUUACAUAAAAGCUAUCAGUAUAGCAAAAUAUAUUUAUAUAAAUUAAUAAAUUACUUUUAAAUAAAUUAUUAGAACAUAUAUUUUUUAUUAUAAAUAAAUUGUAAUAGUCUCAAUUUCUUGUUAAGUAAAUAUAUUUAAACACAAUGACACCAUUAAUUGAUUAGUUUGGAGGAAAUUAAAUUAUUAUAUA
RNAcentral lists this long non-coding RNA (25487 nucleotides) under Phoenix dactylifera (date palm). RNAcentral describes it as "long non-coding RNA (PDAC_LNC001545)". The record is from RNAcentral. Lineage: Eukaryota; Viridiplantae; Streptophyta; Magnoliopsida; Arecales; Arecaceae.